RNAcentral lists this long non-coding RNA (452 nucleotides) under Homo sapiens (human). RNAcentral's name for it is "HSALNT0342848". Lineage: Eukaryota; Metazoa; Chordata; Mammalia; Primates; Hominidae. The record is from RNAcentral.
UCAGUUUUUGAUUGCUGGUUCUGAUUUUUGUAGAUUUCCGACUUUCAUGGAGGCAGUACACUUAUGAGUGUUUAAUUUACUGAUGUGUAAAUGUUAACACAGUCACUUAAAAGGAUAAAUAUUAAUGGACAUAAUCAUGAAACUAUCUGUGAAAGUCAUUUGAAGAUAGUGAUAAAGGCGUAUUGACAGAAUCUACAUUUGAUACAUUGAAAAAAAUCAUUGAAAAAGAAGGCAGAAAUAAAUGAACAAUGAUUGAAUACCAGUAAACUUGGUGCUUUGCACACUGCCUUUGAUUUCAUUCUCCCAAAAUAUCUGUGAAAUAGAUAUUAUUUGUCAUUUGCAGAUGAGAAAACUAAGGCUCAGGGAACUUAUUUGUCCUAGGUCACACACAUACAAAAACCCAAGAAACAAUAAAAAGAAAGAAAGAAAAACACAAUAAAAAUUAUCCCUAC